RNAcentral lists this transfer RNA (648 nucleotides) under uncultured Prochlorococcus sp. RNAcentral describes it as "partial 16S-23S ribosomal RNA intergenic spacer". The stretch from base 243 to 314 matches the Rfam family "tRNA". Lineage: Bacteria; Bacillati; Cyanobacteriota; Cyanophyceae; Synechococcales; Prochlorococcaceae. The record is from RNAcentral.
CGUGAUGUCUGAGUUAUGAUACUUAGGCCAUGAUCCUGUCACCUUAGGUCGAUCGGUACCUCAAGUUGAGAAUCAAAGAAAAGCUGAUGAAUCAGCUUUGAGAUUGAUGAUUGAUUUUAGUUCCUAAACUUGUCUAGGUCACACCCCGCAAGGGUUACUCCUGGGCCAUUAGCUCAGGUGGUUAGAGCGCACCCCUGAUAAGGGUGAGGUCCCUGGCUCAGUCGAGGAUGGUCCAUUCGUGUUGGGGUUUAGCUCAGUUGGUAGAGCGCCUGCUUUGCAAGCAGGAUGUCAGCGGUUCGAGUCGCUAACCUCACUGACGAAUCUUCUGACAACGAGCCAAUGGUGAGAACCGUUGUGUGAUGUGAUUUAGGAUUUAAGUUUGCUGGCAGACCCUAGCUUCUUAUCAUUCCAGGCCUCAAUUCAUUGAGGUUAGGUUGAUAGGACGCUGGGCUCACUGUAAUUCGCAAGAAUUGCAGAGAUGUUCAGCAGAACCUUGACAACUGCAUAGGUAAGUCUGGAAAGAAUAAAGCAUCUCAUGGAUGCAUGAUUCUUUUGAGUCAGCUAAUGCAAUCUGCGCCAGUAGAGAGCUGAGGCUGAUCAACGAGAAUGAUGUUUGAUUCUUGAGUCAAGAGCCGAGACUCUAUAGCG